CNGUAAACGAUGAAUGCUAGCUGUUAGCGAUAUACUGUUAGCGGCACAGAGAANUCGUUAAGCNUUCCACCUGGGGAGUACGCCGGCAACGGUGAAACUCAAAGGAAUUGACGGGGGCCCGCACAAGCGGAGGAACAUGUGGGUUAAUUCGAUGAUACGCGAGGAACCUUACCUGGGCUUAAAUUGCAGUGGAAUAACGUGGAAACAUGUUAGCCUUCGGGCCGCUGUGAAGGUGCUGCAUGGUUGUCGUCAGCUCGUGCCGUGAGGUGUCGGCUUAAGUGCCAUAACGAGCGCAACCCUCAUCGAUAGUUACUAACAGGUUAAGCUGAGGACUCUAUCGAGACUGCCGACGUAAGUCGUGAGGAAGGUGGGGAUGACGUCAAAUCAGCACGGNCCUUACGUCCAGGGCUACACACGUGUUACAAUGGGGGGUACAAAGGGCAGCUACCUGGCGACAGGAUGCUAAUCUCAAAAACCUCUCUCAGUUCGGAUUGGAGUCUGCAACCCGACUCCAUGAAGCUGGAUUCGCUAGUAAUCGCGCACCAGCCACGGCGCGGUGAAUACGUUCCCGGGCCUUGUACACACCGCCCGUCAAGCCAUGGGAGCCGGGGGGACCUGAAGUAUGCAACCGUAAGGAGCGUCCUAGGGUAAAACUGGUGGCUGGGGCU
RNAcentral lists this ribosomal RNA (668 nucleotides) under uncultured prokaryote. RNAcentral's name for it is "bacterial SSU rRNA". It matches the Rfam family "Bacterial small subunit ribosomal RNA", at positions 800 to 1482 of the family's 1533-position model. The record is from RNAcentral.